GAUGAACGCUGGCGGCGUGCCUAAUACAUGCAAGUCGAGUGAACAGACGAGGAGCUUGCUCCUCUGACGUUAGCGGCGGACGGGUGAGUAACACGUGGAUAACCUACCUAUAAGACUGGGAUAACUUCGGGAAACCGGAGCUAAUACCGGAUAAUAUAUUGAACCGCAUGGUUCAAUAGUGAAAGACGGUUUUGCUGUCACUUAUAGAUGGAUCCGCGCCGCAUUAGCUAGUUGGUAAGGUAACGGCUUACCAAGGCAACGAUGCGUAGCCGACCUGAGAGGGUGAUCGGCCACACUGGAACUGAGACACGGUCCAGACUCCUACGGGAGGCAGCAGUAGGGAAUCUUCCGCAAUGGGCGAAAGCCUGACGGAGCAACGCCGCGUGAGUGAUGAAGGUCUUCGGAUCGUAAAACUCUGUCAUUAGGGAAGAACAAAUGUGUAAGUAACUAUGCACGUCUUGACGGUACCUAAUCAGAAAGCCACGGCUAACUACGUG
Molecule: ribosomal RNA, 497 nt
Filed under: uncultured bacterium
Lineage: Bacteria
Description: partial 16S ribosomal RNA
Rfam family: Bacterial small subunit ribosomal RNA
Source: RNAcentral